UCUGGGCAUAAUUCCAUCUCAAACGAAAGUGGGCGGAAGAGCUAUGAAAACAAUUUUGGAAAGGUGGCCGGCUGUGAAUCAACACCUUGGGGAAUAUUUAGGAACCUCACUGAAUUUGCCUGUGGACAUAGCAACUGAGUGUCCCAGCGCACAUGUAAUAUCGUGAAGUUGUCCUGUCCCGAAUUCUGAUGCACAAGAAAGGGCAGGAGCAGAGGCCUGCGUGGUUCGUGGAUCGCCCAAGUGCCAGUUCUGCCUUUGCUCUGAUGCCAAACCAAGGAGGUUAUAAAAAAGACCUGGCACUGCACUGGAGGUUGUGGGACCUUCUGCUAACAUUUGGCCUGGGGAUGCUGGAAGAUCCCUAACCCUUGCUGCUGGCCUCGCAGGCAGGAUGUCCAUACGGAGGGUCGCCUGCUGCAGCGGGAGCCGGCCGACCACACACUCGGGCUGUGCAUUCAACAUCGCCUCCGUCAACUGUGCCCUGGAAGUGACUUUUGAGUCGACAAACCAAAAACUCAACAGCCAGUAAGAAACUAAGCUACUGUAAUAUACAGAAAAUACCCACAUCACAUACAGAGACAGAGCGUUACCUGGGUAUAUUAAACUAAACUCAGUCUUUACAGCUUCCAUCGUAUGCCAGCUCUGUCCGUUACACAACUUGAGGACAGUCUUGGUCUCUGCCCUUGAAAUGAGAUUGGUUGAAAGAAUAUUCUGUUGUUUAAAAUAUUUUAAUUUCCUGUAAUAGCAUCGCCAU
RNAcentral lists this long non-coding RNA (751 nucleotides) under Homo sapiens (human). RNAcentral describes it as "HSALNT0116982". The record is from RNAcentral. Lineage: Eukaryota; Metazoa; Chordata; Mammalia; Primates; Hominidae.